GAGAAACUGAUCAGCUGAUUGUCCGGUGUAGAGGCUGAUCAAAUCUCCGGCAGCUCACCCAGCCGAUGGGCUUACGACAAUCGAAUGCAAAGAUUCAACCGAUUUGCAGUUUCAGUAACAGUUAUAUCACCUCUUCACUAUGACUUCGGCCUCUCCGUUUGGGUUUACAACUGGUGAAAUGGGAACGACUGAAAGAGAAAAGCAGGCUGUUGUAUAAACCCUUUCUCGCUUUCCACCCACUAUGGUGAAAUGACGACGUCAGGACAUUUGCUUGAUUUAAAGGCCGUUUCACAAAGAAGAAGUGGCUAUCUAAAUACUUGGCGUUGGAAUUGGUGCGAAGUGCCUGUAACUAGUAGCAACAGUUUGCUAAGAAAUCGCAUUUAAUAGAUGCAGUGGAAGUCUGCCAAGUAGGACGUUGAUGACUGACCAUGGUGAAAGAACACAAGAUUUCAAUUCUCAAAUACUGCGAGCAGUUGCGCAGGGGAAGUGUUGGAGUAUCAGAAAAGAAUGUGACAAUGACCAUGCGAGUGCCGACGUGUUGGGUGAUCUGCCGGUGGUUGAAAACGGCGUCGUUCAUGGUGAUACAUUCUCCUGAACCGAGCUAUCAUUGUUUGGAAGGUCCACCAGUGGAGCUUGUGCUGUUUCAAAAGACAUCACGGAAGUGUUGCAUUUCAAUAUUCCUUACGGAUGAAUUGCGGACUUGAUCCUUGGUGGUUUCUUCGCAUCUUACAUUCGCGGUGACUUUCUUGGACGUAGAGGUGAGGCAAGGUACGAGACAGUGGAUGAAGUUUGUUGCGUUCCAGAAGAUGAUUGCUCUGAGCCUCUUCGUGAUAGCUUCGCACACGAUUGCUCAGUGGGCAUCUUUGUUGCUUGAUUUUCAGUGCACUUGGAGUUGUUUAACGUCAGUCGGUGCUUGACAGUGAGUGUGUGCCAUUCAGCAAUGGAUCAUGUUUACUAUAAAAACUCCUGCAUCUACGCAUUUUGAGAGGAACUAGAGCAGCAGCAGCAGCAGCAAGGCUUAAUCUGCUCAACCUAUUGCUGCAAACCAUUGUUUGCCUGCGUCAAAUUUGUAUUCGUUAAAUUUCUCGUUAUCCAAGGGAAAGCUAAGGUACGAUACUUCGUGCGAGUCUUUAGUUUACACAAUAACAGCAAAUUAUUCAACAGGAUUCGAAACAGGAUGUAUACGUUGAGGAAUCCAAUGGAGAGCACACCUUAACACGAACGAGACGCGAAAGGUUCCUUCCCGAAUAUUCUCGAGACCACGCAAUCGAAUAAUGUAGUGCAUCGCGUGUACUUUACACCUUGUACCCAACAAACGAUCUGAACCGAGGCAACAACCUGGUGGACACGUCUCCCAUGAAACUCUGUUAGUGCACUUGCGAGAUGCAGGGAAAGUCUACAGAAGCACUUCUUUGGAUAUUCACAACUUUUUGAAAGCAGCAUCAUGGUGAUCUCAUCUACUCGCGCAGUGCCCAUUUGUCCACAUCAUGAGCCACGUACCAGCACAAAGACUCCAAGCACAUCCGCGGCGUAAAACAUUCCCCUCAACCACCGCACCUACUCGCAUCAAUGUUAUUCUACAAACAGUGCACUUCCCACAUACACGUUUGUCGUUCUCAGCACCCCUUUGCAGCACUUGGAUUUACAGACAUAACCACGGCUGCCAAUACGAGAGUGCACCUUCAUUCAACCCACCUCUCUACCAGACAAUCCAACGCGCAAACCAGCCACCCCGAGCCUGGUGCACUCAAUCAACCAUGUUGAAACGUGACUGUGCGCACUGGUCACCACUCAAAAUGCAUCAUUCCAAUCCUGACAACCCCAUGACAAUCGUCACCACGGCUUAGUAGGCACACGACACUAAGUUAAGUGCUCAUGGGAAUCGGUGGGCACUGUUCUAGUUAAGGAAUUAGGGCAUGCAGCUGAGACAGCGUGGGUGCAGCGGCGAACUCAAAGACGUUUAU
Molecule: non-coding RNA, 1964 nt
Organism: Physcomitrium patens
Lineage: Eukaryota; Viridiplantae; Streptophyta; Bryopsida; Funariales; Funariaceae
Source: RefSeq, a predicted model, not a curated record